This 63-nucleotide transfer RNA is filed under the name Rattus norvegicus (Norway rat). It matches the Rfam family "tRNA", at positions 1 to 62 of the family's 71-position model. Rfam says of the family: Transfer RNA (tRNA) molecules are approximately 80 nucleotides in length. Their secondary structure includes four short double-helical elements and three loops (D, anti-codon, and T loops). Lineage: Eukaryota; Metazoa; Chordata; Mammalia; Rodentia; Muridae. The record is from Rfam by way of RNAcentral.
GGGGAUUUAGCUCAGUGGUAGAGCGUUUGCCUAGCAAGCACAAGGCCCUGGAUUUGGUCCCCA